CCUACGGGGGGCAGCAGUGGGGAAUAUUGCGCAAUGGGCGAAAGCCUGACGCAGCGACGCCGCGUGAGGGAUGAAGGUCUUCGGAUCGUAAACCUCUGUCAGCAGGGACGAACGUUCACUGUGCUAGUCAGCAGUGAAUUGACUGUACCUGCAACGGAAGCACCGGCUAACUCCGUGCCAGCAGCCGCGGUAAUACGGAGGGUGCGAGCGUUAAUCGGAAUUACUGGGCGUAAAGCGCUCGUAGGCGGUAUGUCAAGUCAAGGGUGAAAUCCCCGCGCUCAACGUGGGAACUGCCUUUGAAACUGGGAGACUGGAGUGUGUGAGAGGAUAGUGGAAUUCCAGGUGUAGGAGUGAAAUCCGUAGAUAUCGGGAGGAACAUCAGUGGCGAAGGCGACUAGCUGGAACAUAACUGACGCUGAGGAGCGAAAGCGUGGGUAGCAAACAGGAUUAGAUACCCGAGUAGUC
This 465-nucleotide ribosomal RNA is filed under the name uncultured bacterium. RNAcentral's name for it is "partial 16S ribosomal RNA". It matches the Rfam family "Bacterial small subunit ribosomal RNA", at positions 338 to 795 of the family's 1533-position model. The record is from RNAcentral.